GUUUGGUCCUAACCUUAAAAUCAGUUCUUUCUUAACUUACACAUGCAAGUUUCCGCAUCCCUGUGAAAACGCCCUCUCACCCCCACCAAGGGGUAAGGAGCCGGUAUCAGGCACAAACCUUAGCCCAAGACACCUAGCUAUGCCACACCCACAAGGGAAUUCAGCAGUGAUUAACAUUGAAAAUAAGUGACAGCUUGACUCAGUUAAAGAAAAAAGAGCCGGCUAAUCUGGUGCCAGCCGCCGCGGUUACACCAAGUGGCUCAAAUUGACUGCUUUCGGCGUAAAGCGUGAUUAAAGAGAUCCCAUAUUGGUGCCAAAAGACCACUAAGCCGUGACACGCUUGUGAUCAAGAAGACCUAGAACGAAAGUUACACCAACCCAAUCCACUUGAAUUCACGACAGCUAAGAAACAAACUGGGACUAGAUACCCCACUAUGCUUAGCCGUAAACUUUAACCUACACCUCAAUCGCCAGGGAACUACGAGCAAAGCUUAAAACCCAAAGGACUUGACGGUACCCCAAAUCCACCUAGAGGAGCCUGUCCUUUAAUCGAUAACCCCCGAUUCACCUCACCACUUUUUGCCUAUCAGCCUGUAUACCUCCGUCGUCAGCUUACCUCGUGAGCGUAACUAAGUGAGCUUAAUGCCCAUGCGCCAACACGUCAGGUCAAGGUGCAGCUAAUAAAAUGGGAAGAGAUGGGCUACACUUUCUACCAUAGAAAAAACGAAAGACUAACUAUGAAACCUAGUCGGAAGGAGGAUUUAGCAGUAAAAAGAAAUCAGAGUGUUCUUUUUAACUAGGCA
This 803-nucleotide non-coding RNA is filed under the name Leptodactylus lithonaetes. RNAcentral describes it as "partial 12S ribosomal RNA". It matches the Rfam family "Bacterial small subunit ribosomal RNA", at positions 11 to 1373 of the family's 1533-position model. Lineage: Eukaryota; Metazoa; Chordata; Amphibia; Anura; Leptodactylidae. The record is from RNAcentral.